UCCUACGUGAGGCAGCAGUGGGGAAUAUUGGACAAUGGGGGGAACCCUGAUCCAGCCAUGCCGCGUGUGUGAAGAAGGCCUUAUGGUUGUAAAGCACUUUAAGCGAGGAGGAGGCUACUGAGACUAAUACUCUUGGAUAGUGAACAUACUCCCACAUAAGGCACCCGCGUCC
RNAcentral lists this ribosomal RNA (172 nucleotides) under uncultured bacterium. Its description in RNAcentral is "partial 16S ribosomal RNA". It matches the Rfam family "Bacterial small subunit ribosomal RNA", at positions 337 to 501 of the family's 1533-position model. The record is from RNAcentral.